GCAGAUGUGGUGUAGUCGGUCAGCAUCAGGAUUUGGUAUGUCCUGGACGCGAGUUCAAGCCUCGCCAUCUGCU
This 73-nucleotide transfer RNA is filed under the name Scytolyngbya sp. HA4215-MV1. RNAcentral describes it as "tRNA-Thr". It matches the Rfam family "tRNA". From Rfam's summary of the family: Transfer RNA (tRNA) molecules are approximately 80 nucleotides in length. Their secondary structure includes four short double-helical elements and three loops (D, anti-codon, and T loops). RNAcentral also lists the same sequence under 11 other names. The record is from RNAcentral. Lineage: Bacteria; Bacillati; Cyanobacteriota; Cyanophyceae; Leptolyngbyales; Leptolyngbyaceae.